GCGUUGAAACACUAGAUCGCGUUCGAUCACCGAAGUUAAGCAAAACUGAGCCUGGCCAGUAACUAGAUGGAUAACCACUUAAGAAUACCAGUUGCUGUAA
Molecule: non-coding RNA, 100 nt
Organism: Acanthosepion pharaonis
Lineage: Eukaryota; Metazoa; Mollusca; Cephalopoda; Sepiida; Sepiidae
Source: the annotation of a GenBank genome assembly